RNAcentral lists this transfer RNA (77 nucleotides) under Gammaproteobacteria bacterium. RNAcentral describes it as "tRNA-Ile". It matches the Rfam family "tRNA". From Rfam's summary of the family: Transfer RNA (tRNA) molecules are approximately 80 nucleotides in length. Their secondary structure includes four short double-helical elements and three loops (D, anti-codon, and T loops). Further hydrogen bonds mediate the characteristic L-shaped molecular structure. tRNAs have two regions of fundamental functional importance: the anti-codon, which is responsible for specific mRNA codon recognition, and the 3' end, to which the tRNAs corresponding amino acid is attached (by aminoacyl-tRNA synthetases). tRNAs cope with the degeneracy of the genetic code in two manners: having more than one tRNA (with a specific anti-codon) for a particular amino acid; and 'wobble' base-pairing, i.e. permitting non-standard base-pairing at the 3rd anti-codon position. Lineage: Bacteria; Pseudomonadati; Pseudomonadota; Gammaproteobacteria. The record is from RNAcentral. RNAcentral also lists the same sequence under 7 other names.
GGGCCUAUAGCUCAGCUGGUUAGAGCGCACCCCUGAUAAGGGUGAGGUCGGUGGUUCGACUCCACCUAGGCCCACCA